RNAcentral lists this ribosomal RNA (502 nucleotides) under uncultured bacterium. RNAcentral's name for it is "partial 16S ribosomal RNA". It matches the Rfam family "Bacterial small subunit ribosomal RNA", at positions 29 to 523 of the family's 1533-position model. The record is from RNAcentral.
AGUGAACGCUGGCGGUGGGCCUAACACAUGCAAGUCGAACGGCAGCAUAGGAGCUUGCUCCUGAUGGCGAGUGGCGAACGGGUGAGUAAUAUAUCGGAACGUGCCCUAGAGUGGGGGAUAACUAGUCGAAAGAUUAGCUAAUACAGCAUACGAUCUACGGAUGAAAGUGGGGGAUCGCAAGACCUCAUGCUCCUGGAGCGGCCGAUAUCUGAUUAGCUAGUUGGUGGGGUAAGAGCCUACCAAGGCGACGAUCAGUAGCUGGUCUGAGAGGACGACCAGCCACACUGGGACUGAGACACGGCCCAGACUCCUACGGGAGGCAGCAGUGGGGAAUUUUGGACAAUGGGGGCAACCCUGAUCCAGCAAUGCCGCGUGAGUGAAGAAGGCCUUCGGGUUGUAAAGCUCUUUUGUCAGGGAAGAAACGGUUCUGGAUAAUACCCAGAGCUAAUGACGGUACCUGAAGAAUAAGCACCGGCUAACUACGUGCCAGCCGCCGCCGUAA